This 584-nucleotide unclassified non-coding RNA is filed under the name Melitaea cinxia (Glanville fritillary). RNAcentral's name for it is "misc RNA ENSMCXG00005015901.1". The record is from RNAcentral. Lineage: Eukaryota; Metazoa; Arthropoda; Insecta; Lepidoptera; Nymphalidae.
GUGUAUUUUUGUGUAGGAGCCCUGUGUCCGCCAUUCCAGCCACCAUGAGUCGUCGAAUCGACGAAGAUACGAUUCGUCAGCUGUUAUUAGAUAAUAAUAGUGACGAAGAAAACGGAUCUGAGAGUGAGAAAGAAGACCACCUUGACGGUGAUUCGGCUUAUGAAACAGAUGGUGAGGAAGAAAUUUGUUUUGUAACAAAACAACCACCUUCAACUGAAGACAUCCAGGCAAAAUUCAUCUUCAUCAAUUGAAGACUCGUGAGCUAGUACUUCAAAUCAGUCACACGAAUUAAUUAUUACACCAACAAGUAAUAUUAUUCGUGGAAAAGGCAAACACAAAUGGUCAUCAGUGAAACAGAUUUCAUGAAGCCGAACAGCAUCAAAAAAUAUUGUUCAUGGACCUACAUGUAAUUGUAAAAACGAACUAAGUAGAUCCGCUUUCUUGCUUUUUAUUUUUUGUAACUGAUAGUAUGAUUGAUUUAAUUGUAGCCCAUGCCAGGAACCAGUAGUUCUAUUUCUACACACGAGACUGAUCAAAGAAAAGAUUCAGUUAGUCUUCCUAUCACCGAAAAGAAGAAAAAUUUG